UUCCUAAAAAUUUGGGCGCCUUCCCAAACGUGAGGCACGAUUUCCUAACUAUUUGUAUGAGUUACUUCUUGUCUGCCUGCGAUUAUGUUUCUUAAAGUAACUCAAGAUUUGGUAAUGGAAAAUGUAGGAAUUAGGAUACAUAAAUUAAAGUUUCAACUUCUAGUCUACAUAACCUUUCACUUGGGGAGAGAAAAAACAAAAGCAAUUCGGCACAAUCCAAAAGCACAUAGUUCAGCUCAAAUUUUCAAUAAUUUCAGAGAGGGAUGAAUAGGUUCCAAAGACCGACGAUACCACGCCUACUGCAAUAAUCAAUAUACAAACCGAACCCUGCCACAAAGAAAACAGAAAAAGAAACAAAAAAUCAGGAGAAAGUGCACAAGAAAAAGCAGUGAGAGUCAUAGUUAAGUAUAAUGCUUAGGAUGGCAAUUACCCUGAUUAUAGUCAUAGUUAAGUAUAAUGCUUAGGAUGGCAAUUACCCUGAAAUAAUCAGGGCCCCGCCCCGGCCCACGCCGACCCUAAUAGGGCGGGUUUGGGAUAGAAAUAAUCGGGUUCGGGUGGGUUAUGGGGGAAAAAAUAAAAUCCGGUUCGGUUCGGUACGG
Molecule: long non-coding RNA, 599 nt
Filed under: Actinidia chinensis (golden kiwifruit)
Lineage: Eukaryota; Viridiplantae; Streptophyta; Magnoliopsida; Ericales; Actinidiaceae
Description: long non-coding RNA (ACHI_LNC003808)
Source: RNAcentral